Molecule: long non-coding RNA, 911 nt
Filed under: Struthio camelus australis
Lineage: Eukaryota; Metazoa; Chordata; Aves; Struthioniformes; Struthionidae
Description: lncRNA (ENSSCUG00000003971.1)
Source: RNAcentral
UUCAUAUAUAAGUUAUUGCAGCCUGAAGGAAACAGAUACUGCUGGCAGUUUACUACAUACGCAGCUUAUAGACACAGAUUUAUGCUACUGUUGCAUUAAAACAAGUAGUUUAUAAAUAUCUGCUGGUGCUUUAGGUUACCAGGGAUUCAAAUCAGAGAGGGUAACCAUUUUUGGACAGAAAACAUCUCUUUGCUUCCGGUGGAAAGGAGGGGAAGGGAAGAGAAGAGAAGGGGAAAGGCAAAAGAGAGAAGGGGGAAGGCAAAAGGAGGAAGGAGGAGGGGAAAAGGAGAAAAAGCGGGAAAGAAACAAGGAAUUGUAAGAAGAUAAAGAUGGUUGUGGAUUUUUUCCUCCCUUGUAGUUUCUCCAGCGCUCUCAAGGAACCCUUACUGUGAACAAGCAGCAGAAAGAAAGAAACUGCAUGAUUUAAUUGUUGAAAGGACAGAGGUAGAGUGUUAAUGAAAAGUAGACAGAGAUAACAACUGGGGAAUAGAAGAAGCAAAGAGAAGGAAACACCAGAAUUAAUGUUGUCUGUGGAGGUUCUGCAGAGAAGGAGGGAUAGGGCCAAAAAAAUAGCGUACAGUGGAGAUUUUGCCUGGCUAUGGAGAUGAAAACUUGGAGAGCAGACAAGGAAGGAAGAGAAGAGGAAUGGGAUUCUCAGAAGGGAAAAGGAAGAGGCAACCGGUACAGAGAAAGAUAAUUUCCGAACUGAAAGUAUUAAUCAUGGGAUACUGGCUGGCUCACAAAGUUAAAUUAGCCUGUAUUUUAGUUCAUCAAUUUUAAAGAAUGGAGUAAAAUGUAAGACACUCAAAGGACAUUUUCAGAAUUUCACUAGAUGAAGGUUCAAUCCUGAGAUGACUUGACAAGCUGCAUCUUCCUUAAGAGAUUUUGACAAGAUAUUAAGCCAUAGUUAC